AGUGAACGCUGGCGGUAGGCCUAACACAUGCAAGUCGAACGGCAGCACAGUAAGAGCUUGCUCUUACGGGUGGCGAGUGGCGGACGGGUGAGGAAUACAUCGGAAUCUACUUUUUCGUGGGGGAUAACGUAGGGAAACUUACGCUAAUACCGCAUACGACCUACGGGUGAAAGCAGGGGAUCUUCGGACCUUGCGCGAUUGAAUGAGCCGAUGUCGGAUUAGCUAGUUGGCGGGGUAAAGGCCCACCAAGGCGACGAUCCGUAGCUGGUCUGAGAGGAUGAUCAGCCACACUGGAACUGAGACACGGUCCAGACUCCUACGGGAGGCAGCAGUGGGGAAUAUUGGACAAUGGGCGCAAGCCUGAUCCAGCCAGACCGCGUGGGUGAAGAAGGCCUUCGGGGUGUAAAGCCCUUUUGUUGGGAAAGAAAAGCAGCAGGUUAAUACCCCGCUGUUCUGACGGUACCCAAAGAAUAAGCACCGGCUAACUUCGUG
Molecule: ribosomal RNA, 492 nt
Filed under: uncultured bacterium
Lineage: Bacteria
Description: partial 16S ribosomal RNA
Rfam family: Bacterial small subunit ribosomal RNA
Source: RNAcentral